Molecule: ribosomal RNA, 270 nt
Filed under: uncultured bacterium
Lineage: Bacteria
Description: partial 16S ribosomal RNA
Rfam family: Bacterial small subunit ribosomal RNA
Source: RNAcentral
AUUGAACGCUGGCGGCAUGCUUUACACAUGCAAGUCGAGCGGCAGCGCGGGGGCAACCCUGGCGGCGAGCGGCGAACGGGUGAGUAAUACAUCGGAACGUGUCCCGUAGUGGGGAAUAGCUCGGCGAAAGCCGGAUUAAUACCGCAUAUGCUCUACGGAGGAAAGCGGGGGAUCCGCAAGGACCUCGCGCUAUGGGAGCGGCCGAUGUCCGAUUAGCUUGUUGGUGGGGUAACGGCCUACCAAGGCGACGAUCGGUAGCUGGUCUGAGAG